This 499-nucleotide ribosomal RNA is filed under the name uncultured bacterium. RNAcentral describes it as "partial 16S ribosomal RNA". It matches the Rfam family "Bacterial small subunit ribosomal RNA", at positions 28 to 507 of the family's 1533-position model. The record is from RNAcentral.
GACGAACGCUGGCGGCGUGCCUAAUACAUGCAAGUCGAGCGGACUGAAUGGGAGCUUGCUCUUGUUCGGUCAGCGGCGGACGGGUGAGUAACACGUGGGCAACCUGCCCGCAAGACCGGGAUAACUCCGGGAAACCGGAGCUAAUACCGGAUAACACCGAAGACCGCAUGGUCUUUGGUUGAAAGGCGGCGCAAGCUGCCACUUGCGGAUGGGCCCGCGGCGCAUUAGCUAGUUGGUGAGGUAACGGCUCACCAAGGCGACGAUGCGUAGCCGGCCUGAGAGGGGGCCCGGCCACACUGGGACUGAGACACGGCCCAGACUCCUACGGGAGGCAGCAGUAGGGAAUCUUCCGCAAUGGGCGAAAGCCUGACGGAGCGACGCCGCGUGAGCGAAGAAGGCCGUCGGGUCGUAAAGCUCUGUUGUGAGGGACGAAGGAGCGCCGUUUGAAGAAGGCGGCGCGGUGACGGUACCUCACGAGGAAGCCCCGGCUAACUACGUG